GACGGUUCGUCGCAACCGCCUUAACCCACCUACGCUACGGGUCUGAUUUGUUACGUGUAACUUUGAUAAUAAUGUACACAUUUUCUAUAAUUUUCAGACCGCUUCAUGGAUUUCGUGUUGUUCCUGGUUGUUUCUAUUUAUCAUCCAAGUAAUCAAGACAGUAAUAAAAUCACGAUCUGGAAACAGACCAACAAAUAGACAGCAACGUGUGCCAGAGGGGCAGAAGUUCGAAAUAAUUAGUUAAAAUUGAGGCGUACUGUACGUUAAAAAGCUAAUGCCACAUUUUUUUUUGUCAAAUAAUUUGAACAUUUAGGCAGUUGGAUAUUUAGCUGGUGGUAGAAAAGCCAAUUCGUUUGGAUUUCAAUGAUGAUUAGUGAUGGCGAGUAGUGGCGCAAGUUGGGGAACCGUCAGACAGGACAGGCCCCUUUCGUCCGAGGCACAACUAGGUCGUCGAAUAAAAACCAAUAAUAACAAUAAUAAUAAUAAUAAUAAUAAUAAUAAUAAUAAUAAUAAUAAUAAUAAUAAUAAUAAGGAUGAUAAUGAUGAUAAUUUUCCUAUCAAAAUAACGUUUAUUUUGAUGCCAAUUCCAAAUAAUGUAGUCUAAAAGCAUAUUUUGGACAAUACUAAGCCAUUAAAAAACUCACCCCGUGAACCUACACGGGAGUUUUUAUUUCGGGCCGUCGACCGAGGUUUCGUCGGGCCCCUGCCUUGGACCCCUCCGUCUAACAUUUCGGACCCUUGUCGGCAAAAAUCUGGCGCCACCGCUGGUGUGAGAUAAAGCUGUACAGUUUUGUUGAGUUUAAAUAUUUGGAAAUAUCAAUUGCAACAAGGUUAUUGUGAAUUUUGUAGAACAUUGCAAAUCACUGAUUUUAGUAUAAAAAUUAGGCCUAACUUAUAAGAUGUCACUGGAAGUGGGGUAGCAUAGCCAAUAAUUGAGGGAGGGGGGAGGUUUGUUAGAAAUUACAGAUUGCAAACCGUUGAUGAUAAUUCGAAAACUAAUAAGGAUCACCUCUAUUUCGAUGUUCCCUCAAAUUAUGGUGAAUUCAAAUGUGAUGUAUCAAAGAUCGCUCUCUAAGCAAAUUGUGAUAGCCUGCCCUCAUGCUUACUUUUUUGUUAGUAUAGUAUCUCAUCUUACCUUUUUGUAUAGUAUCUAUCCUCCUGCCAACGGUUGUAUUUUAUUAAAAUGCAUUUGCUUUCUGCUGGCUGUAACAAAUCUAAAUAAUUAGUGAAUGAAUGUAGGCUUAAAUAAUCGUUUAAAAUUUACAAAAGCUGUAUAAUAAUUUUAUAUACAUUUUUAAAUAAUGCAUUGAGUACAUUUGAUGAGACAAUUAACUACUGUAUAAUCAUGUAAGCUGUAUGUUUUAUGUUAUGUAAGCUGUAUGUUUUAUGUUCAUUAUUACCAUUAAUUUAUAUAUUUAUUAAAGCAUGAUAGACAGGAUAACAUAUAAA
Molecule: long non-coding RNA, 1449 nt
Organism: Anneissia japonica
Lineage: Eukaryota; Metazoa; Echinodermata; Crinoidea; Comatulida; Comatulidae
Exons: 2
Source: RefSeq, a predicted model, not a curated record